Molecule: long non-coding RNA, 343 nt
Filed under: Struthio camelus australis
Lineage: Eukaryota; Metazoa; Chordata; Aves; Struthioniformes; Struthionidae
Description: lncRNA (ENSSCUG00000015397.1)
Source: RNAcentral
CUGGCGGUACACAGCAUCUCGCGCCUGCACCUGACCCGAACGGUGUGAUUCUUGCUGAAAGCAGUGUCAAUCGAAACUGCUAGUUUCUGCAAUAUUGGGACACUUGCAGAUCUCUGUGGAAAUAAUCAGCUGACAUGCAAGUAUACGUUCCUAACUCACAAGGGAGGAAAAGAAGGAACAGAAAAUUGUCUUUGCGCUGGAUUCAAUAUUGACAUCUCUGGCUUUGCCAAACAGGCCCAGGCCGUCUCCGUACAGCAAAGCACUGUCCCUCCCUUAGACCUGCCUGCCGCCGUUCUUCCAAAACGCAAUCUUUGCUGAGCGUGCUCUUCCCGGGUUGGAAGCU